UGAGGAAUAUUGGUCAGUGGGCGCGAGCCUGAACCAGCCAAGUAGCGUGAAGGAUGAAGGUCCUACGGAUUGUAAACUUCUUUUAUAAGGGAAUAAAGUCAUCUACGUGUAGGUGUUUGUAUGUACCUUAUGAAUAAGGAUCGGCUAACUCCGUGCCAGCAGCCGCGGUAAUACGGAGGAUCCGAGCGUUAUCCGGAUUUAUUGGGUUUAAAGGGAGCGUAGAUGGAUGUUUAAGUCAGUUGUGAAAGUUUGCGGCUCAACCGUAAAAUUGCAGUUGAUACUGGAUAUCUUGAGUGCAGUUGAGGCAGGCGGAAUUCGUGGUGUAGCGGUGAAAUGCUUAGAUAUCACGAAGAACUCCGAUUGCGAAGGCAGCCUGCUAAGCUGCAACUGACAUUGAGGCUCGAAAGUGUGGGUAUCAAACAGGAUUAGAUACCCUGGUAGUCCACACGGUAAACGAUGAAUACUCGCUGUUUGCGAUAUACUGCAAGCGGCCAAGCGAAAGCGUUAAGUAUUCCACCUGGGGAGUACGCCGGCAACGGUGAAACUCAAAGGAAUUGACGGGGGCCCGCACAAGCGGAGGAACAUGUGGUUUAAUUCGAUGAUACGCGAGGAACCUUACCCGGGCUUAAAUUGCAGAUGAAUUACGGUGAAAGCCGUAAGCCGCAAGGCAUCUGUGAAGGUGCUGCAUGGUUGUCGUCAGCUCGUGCCGUGAGGUGUCGGCUUAAGUGCCAUAACGAGCGCAACCCUUGUUGUCAGUUACUAACAGGUUUUGCUGAGGACUCUGACAAGACUGCCAUCGUAAGAUGUGAGGAAGGUGGGGAUGACGUCAAAUCAGCACGGCCCUUACGUCCGGGGCUACACACGUGUUACAAUGGGGGGUACAGAGGGCCGCUACCACGCGAGUGGAUGCCAAUCCCCAAAACCUCUCUCAGUUCGGACUGGAGUCUGCAACCCGACUCCACGAAGCUGGAUUCGCUAGUAAUCGCGCAUCAGCCACGGCGCGGUGAAUACGUUCCC
This 1017-nucleotide ribosomal RNA is filed under the name uncultured bacterium. Its description in RNAcentral is "bacterial SSU rRNA". It matches the Rfam family "Bacterial small subunit ribosomal RNA", at positions 355 to 1375 of the family's 1533-position model. The record is from RNAcentral.